Long non-coding RNA from Oncorhynchus mykiss (rainbow trout), 1509 nucleotides. RefSeq lists it as uncharacterized. The record is from RefSeq and is a predicted model, not a curated record. Lineage: Eukaryota; Metazoa; Chordata; Actinopteri; Salmoniformes; Salmonidae.
CCCACCGGGUAGCACAGAGCCACACUUUAAGGGGCAUUGCACUAAUAAUGGCGCUGACUAGGGAAACGUUCCCGCUGUUGGUGCCAGUUUGCAUGUUCAAACUAAAACAAUGCAACUAAUAAUGGCGUGAAAAAUGUCUCUUUGAUAUUAAUUCGGAGGACAGAUAUUAUUAAAUAUUAAAGCAUUAGACCUCUCACUAAAAGCGUCAGUCAAAAAUAAAUGAAAAGCACACAUUUAUAAAUCCCAAACUCUAAACAUAAUUUAGAAAGGUAGAUACAAAUUAUUUGUGACAUUGUGGUUACAAUAAAGAAUGUAAAUAAGAUGUAAACAAUAUGCUCUGUUUUUACUUACUUACAGUAGUGAUGGAAAGCUGGUGGCAUUUUGAAAACAGGUUUUCAAACACUUUUAGCCUGAUUAGCAGCAUAAUCAAAGUGAAGACAAUCUGCGAUAUGCUGUAUACUUACGGCCUAUUGUAAGCUGAAAGUCACACCUGUCCAGUACUCACCCCACCACAAACUCCACCCUUAACACAGUUACCGUUCAAAAACGAGCUGUUUAUCUAAAAAAAAAAAAAAAAAAAGAGGACAGACGAAAUGGACAUCGUUUUCAUCAAGCCAGCUUCUUUCUAUGGCGCUAUCUGUUCUAGGGUUAGGACCGUAACCACGAGAGGACUUUACAAUGAGGCAGAGCUGAUCACCAAAACUAAAGAGCAUACAACCAUGCCGACAACCAUUCGUGGAGAUCAGUGGAGAAAGGGCUGGACAACUGGCCGCACCGUAAAAAACGCAUGGUUGCCAAGAAAGCGACCACUGUAAUCGAUGGGGCUCAGGGUGGUACCAUUCUGCUCAUCUGAUGAAGAUGCACAUGGAUCAGAUUCAAACUUUGAAGACUGAGAUUGAGUCAUUAAAGGCAGACCAGCAUAAAAAAAACAUUGCCGCCCAGAUCUAGUGUGUGUGUGUGUGUGUGUGUAUGUGCCUGUGUGUGUGUGUGGCUGUUUGUGUGUGUCCUCGUGUGUGUGAUUGCAUCAUGGAACGUGUAAUUGCUGUAAUUUGAGAAUGGCAGUGACAUCAGCUCCUCUUGACUGUUGACCAUUAACCUCUAAAGUUUAAGGCCUGUGACUGAUCCUCUUCAAUCUCAGAGGGAUCAGCACGGGGUCAACGGUCUACACAAGUCUAAGGGCCGAAACCUGUUGCUCUUACUUUUAACAAUAAAGAAGCACUUUUAUCAACUUCCACUGCCCUCCAACAGUUGUUGUAAUUACUUUUCACUUCAAUUUGUUCCUUAAUUAAUGCAAUUUGGUUGGACAGUGUGGUAGCGGCAGUGGCUCCUUCCCCAAUACUCCAGACAGAAAGAGGGGAUAAAAGUAGAGAGAUGGAUGGAUGUGAUAUUAGGUUGCAUCAUCAGUUUUGCUUAUCUCGAAAUGAGUUCUCCUUUAACAUGUUAACCAUCCUAGGAAUACGUGGGACGCACACAUAUACACGCACCCAUCGACAUACAGUUGAAGUCGUA